CUGCUGAGGAGUCCCAUACUAGGACGAAACGGCCGUCCAGUGC
This is a non-coding RNA of Schistosoma mattheei, 43 nucleotides long. NCBI's taxonomy places the organism in Eukaryota, Metazoa, Platyhelminthes, Trematoda, Strigeidida, Schistosomatidae. The record is from Rfam.